GACGGAGGAUGCAAGCGUUAUCCGGAGUUAUUGGGCGUAAAGCGUCCGUAGGCGGUUGAAUAAGUCAGCUGUUAAAGACUGGGGCUUAACCCUGGGGUUGCAGCUGAGACUGUUUGACUAGAGAGCGGUAGGGGUAGAGGGAAUUCCUAGUGUAGCGGUGAAAUGCGUAGAUAUUAGGAAGAACACCAGUGGCGAAGGCGCUCUACUGGGCCGUUACUGACGCUGAUGGACGAAAGCUAGGGGAGCGAAGGGG
Molecule: ribosomal RNA, 253 nt
Filed under: uncultured bacterium
Lineage: Bacteria
Description: partial 16S ribosomal RNA
Rfam family: Bacterial small subunit ribosomal RNA
Source: RNAcentral